CAGAAGUUGGAAGGUGUAUGUUUUUGAUUCUCAGCGUGUGGCUGUUUGCCAGAAGACAAAUUAGUUUCAAAAGAAGCUGGAGACAGCAA
Molecule: long non-coding RNA, 89 nt
Organism: Etheostoma cragini (Arkansas darter)
Lineage: Eukaryota; Metazoa; Chordata; Actinopteri; Perciformes; Percidae
Exons: 3
Source: RefSeq, a predicted model, not a curated record